UGCAGUUCUCUCUGUUCUACAUUUCUUUGCACCAGAAAUGACCCUGCUGCUCUUUGUCACCAGUGUUUCCUUUUAUCCCUCCCCUGGCAGCUGCUCUUGCUCCAUUUUGAUGUUGGAACAGCAAAUGAACUCCCUCUGAAGCAAAUGUCAUGCCAGUAAAGACGUUGAAGCAGCAAGAAAAUCAUCUCUGUCUCUGAAGAAUGAAUUGGAGACCUUUGUGAAUGAGAUGUUCUUAAAAUAGCUCCACAGCAUGUUAUCUUCACUAGAAGGUGGAGAAUUGAAAACACCACCAGAAGCCACUUGGUUUUGUGUCUCUCUUGCUUACUGUUGGACUUCGACAGACAUAAUCUGUGAAGAUAAUCGAAGUUCCUUUGCUCUGAGUGCUGUAAGUGAUUUUUUUGUUUGUUUUAUGGAAAUUGUUAGGAGCCUAUUUGCUCCUGACAAACACAGGGGAAAAAGGUGAAAAUGCCAAAUCACAGACAAUUGGUUGAAAUGAAGCUGGUGCAGAUUUGUUAUAUGACUGUACGUGUUUGCAGGAGAUAUUUCUUAACAGCAUUUUGUAUUCAGGAACACCCCUGUCUCCAUUCCAGCCAUGCUGAGAAAUGCAGUAGCAGAACCCUAAUUGCAAAUUGCCAGUAAAGAUACCC
Molecule: long non-coding RNA, 647 nt
Organism: Calidris pygmaea (Spoon-billed sandpiper)
Lineage: Eukaryota; Metazoa; Chordata; Aves; Charadriiformes; Scolopacidae
Source: Ensembl